This 849-nucleotide ribosomal RNA is filed under the name uncultured stramenopile. RNAcentral's name for it is "bacterial SSU rRNA". It matches the Rfam family "Bacterial small subunit ribosomal RNA", at positions 524 to 1373 of the family's 1533-position model. The record is from RNAcentral.
UACAUAGGGUGCGAGCGUUAUCGGAUUUAUUGGGCGUAAAGAGCUCGUAGGCGGUUCAACAAGUCGGGUGUUAAACCCCCAGGCUCAACCUGGGGCCGCCACUCGAAACUGUUGUGACUAGAGUUUGGUAGGGGAUCACGGAAUUCCUGGUGUAGCGGUGGAAUGCGCAGAUAUCAGGAGGAACACCAGUAGCGAAGGCGGUGAUCUGGGCCAAUACUGACGCUGAGGAGCGAAAGCGUGGGGAGCGAACAGGAUUAGAUACCCUGGUAGUCCACGCCGUAAACGGUGGGCACUAGGUGUGGGGACUUUUCAACGGUUUCCGCGCCGCAGCUAACGCAUUAAGUGCCCCGCCUGGGGAGUACGGUCGCAAGACUAAAACUCAAAGAAAUUGACGGGGGCCCGCACAAGCAGCGGAGCAUGUGGCUUAAUUCGAUGCAACGCGAAAAACCUUACCUAGAUUUGACAUGCUGGGAAAAGCCACAGAGAUGUGGUGUCCUUCGGGGCCCAGCACAGGUGGUGCAUGGCUGUCGUCAGCUCGUGUCGUGAGAUGUUGGGUUAAGUCCCGCAACGAGCGCAACCCUUGUUCUAUGUUGCCAGCACGUAAUGGUGGGGACUCGUAGAAGACUGCCGGGGUCAACUCGGAGGAAGGUGGGGACGACGUCAAGUCAUCAUGCCCCUUACGUCUAGGGCUGCACACAUGCUACAAUGGGCGGUACAGAGGGCUGCUAAACCGCGAGGUGGAGCCAAUCCCUAAAACCGCUCUCAGUUCAGAUUGCAGGCUGCAACUCGCCUGCAUGAAGUUGGAGUUGCUAGUAAUCCCGGAUCAGCACUGCCGGGGUGAAUACGUUC